UCUAUUCCUGAAAGCUGUCCCCUGACUUCCAAUGCACACUAUGGCACACAGGUAAGUCCCUACCCCCGGUACAUGCACACACACACACACACACACACACACACACACACACACACGUGAUAAAAUAAAUAGCAUUUACAGAAAGAUGAAUAUGAUGACAUCGUGCUUGUAAAGCUGAAGCAGGACAAUGGUGAGUUCCAGGACAGUCUUGACUGCAAAACAACAUUCUGUCUUAGAACAAACAAACAAACAAAGCCCACUAAAGAUGUGCAAUGCACAUACUAGUGUGACUUGAAUACUUAUUAAGCUGGGAGUCAUGAUUCAUGGCCGUUACCCCAGUGUGUGGAAGACUGGGACAGUAAAAUCAUGAACCUAAGCUGGUGUGGAGCUCACUGACAGGACCUGUUGAGCAUACACAAGACUCUGGGUUCACUUCCCAACACCAAAGCCAUUCACACCUUAAAGCCAGCAUUCAGAGAUGUCAGAGGCAAGUGUACCUCUAUGAGGUAGGCCAUCCUGGACUACAUUGGUAGUUCUACCCAGCAAGAGCCACGAAGUCAAGUAAGACACUGCCUCAAACAAAAGAAAAAGAAAACCAUAUUCUAAAAUGGA
This is a non-coding RNA of Rattus norvegicus (Norway rat), 612 nucleotides long. The record is from RefSeq and is a predicted model, not a curated record. Lineage: Eukaryota; Metazoa; Chordata; Mammalia; Rodentia; Muridae.